AUUGAACGCUGGCGGCAUGCCUUACACAUGCAAGUCGAACGGUAACAGGUCUUCGGAUGCUGACGAGUGGCGAACGGGUGAGUAAUACAUCGGAACGUGCCCAGACGUGGGGGAUAACGCGGCGAAAGCUUUGCUAAUACCGCAUACGAUCUAAGGAUGAAAGCAGGGGACCGCAAGGCCUUGCGCGUUUGGAGCGGCCGAUGGCAGAUUAGGUAGUUGGUGGGAUAAAAGCUUACCAAGCCGACGAUCUGUAGCUGGUCUGAGAGGACGACCAGCCACACUGGGACUGAGACACGGCCCAGACUCCUACGGGAGGCAGCAGUGGGGAAUUUUGGACAAUGGGCGAAAGCCUGAUCCAGCAAUGCCGCGUGCAGGAUGAAGGCCUUCGGGUUGUAAACUGCUUUUGUACGGAACGAAAAGGCUCUGGCUAAUACCUGGGGCACAUGACGGUACCGUAAGAAUAAGCACCGGCUAACUACGUG
This 482-nucleotide ribosomal RNA is filed under the name uncultured bacterium. Its description in RNAcentral is "partial 16S ribosomal RNA". It matches the Rfam family "Bacterial small subunit ribosomal RNA", at positions 30 to 507 of the family's 1533-position model. The record is from RNAcentral.